This 349-nucleotide ribosomal RNA is filed under the name uncultured bacterium. Its description in RNAcentral is "partial 16S ribosomal RNA". It matches the Rfam family "Bacterial small subunit ribosomal RNA", at positions 338 to 704 of the family's 1533-position model. The record is from RNAcentral.
CCUACGGGAGGCAGCAGUGGGGAAUAUUGCACAAUGGGGGAAACCCUGAUGCAGCGACGCCGCGUGAGUGAAGAAGUAUUUCGGUAUGUAAAGCUCUAUCAGCAGGGAAGAAAAUGACGGUACCUGAGGAAGAAGCCCCGGCUAACGACGUGCCAGCAGCCGCGGUAAUACGUAGGGGGCAAGCGUUAUCCGGAUUUACUGGGUGUAAAGGGAGCGUAGACGGCAGCACAAGUCUGGAGUGAAAUGCCGGGGCUUAACCCCGGAACUGCUUGGGAAACUGUGCAGCUAGAGUGCAGGAGCGGUAAGUGGAAUUCCUCGUGUAGCGGUUACAUGCCUAGCUAUUAGGCGG